RNAcentral lists this ribosomal RNA (253 nucleotides) under uncultured bacterium. RNAcentral's name for it is "partial 16S ribosomal RNA". It matches the Rfam family "Bacterial small subunit ribosomal RNA", at positions 524 to 776 of the family's 1533-position model. The record is from RNAcentral.
UACGUAGGGUGCAAGCGUUGUCCGGAAUUAUUGGGCGUAAAGAGCUCGUAGGCGGUCUGUCGCGUCGGCUGUGAAAACCUGGGGCUCAACUCCGGGCCUGCAGCCGAUACGGGCAGACUAGAAUUCGGUAGGGGAGACUGGAAUUCCUGGUGUAGCGGUGAAAUGCGCAGAUAUCAGGAGGAACACCAAUAGCGAAGGCAGCUCGCUGGGACGUUACUGACACUGAGGAGCGAAAGCGUGGGGAGCAAACAGG